This is a non-coding RNA of Aspergillus fumigatus Af293, 72 nucleotides long. NCBI's taxonomy places the organism in Eukaryota, Fungi, Ascomycota, Eurotiomycetes, Eurotiales, Aspergillaceae. The record is from the annotation of a RefSeq genome assembly.
CCAUCAUCCAGGUACCGAGGCUGCAUCCUCCAGAUGAUGCAAAAGACAGACUCAGACUCGGAUCGAACGCUC